CACAUCUUCUUAUAUAUUUGGAAUGUUCUUUUCCCUAUAUCAGCCACGCUUUUCAUCAAAUUUCAGAGGGAGAGAGAGAUGGAAAAAGAAGGGAGAUUGAGGUUGAGGCGAAUUGCAAUGAAGGAGGAGGAGGUGGGGCCAUUGGAGUUCAUAGAAGAGAUGACGAGUCAUGUAGAUGAGGUGCAGCAGAUGGUGCUGGACGACAUCCUUUCCACCAACGCCAAUGCUGAGUACCUACAGAGGCAUGGGAUAUUCGGUGGAAGUAUAGACAGGAAAACCUUCAAGUCCAAGCUGCCAAUCAUCGAAUACGAAGACAUCCUGCCCGACAUACAGAGGAUUGCAAACGGUGAUCAUUCACCCAUUUUUUCUGCCCAACCCAUCUCCGAGUUACUAAUCAGCUCCGGAACUUCAGGCGGUGAGCAGAAAAUGAUCCCGGUGAUUGCCAACCAUCAUGAAGGGAUUUAUACAAUCUUCGGAUGGCUCAUUCCCACAGUCAUGAACAAGAAUAUGUCAGGAUUAGAUAAAGGAAAAGUCCUAUUCUUCUUCUCUACUAGAACAGAGACCAAGAGUCCCGCUGGAAUUAUCAUGCGGCCUGCACUUACAAGCUACUAUAAAAGUCCUCAAUUUCUUUGCAAACACUAUGCUAACAUCAACUACACCAGCUCCAUCCCCUCCAUCCAUUGCACAGAUGUCUUCCAAAGCUUGUAUGCUCAAAUGCUUGCUGGCCUGGCUGACCGGCUUGCUAUCUUUCAGAUAGGUUCAACUUUUGCACCAAGCUUUCUCCAGGCUAUCCGCUUCCUCAAGCAUCACUAUCAAGAACUUGCCGUAGAUAUUGAGCAUGGGACAGUGAAUCCACAAGUGACUGACACAGCAGUUAGAGCAGCAUUAGGAAACGCUCUAACCCCUGACCCAGAAAAUGCGGAACACAUAAGGAAGGAAUGUUCAAGUGGGGAUUUUCAGGGUAUCAUAAGGAGGAUUUGGCCAAAUACAAAAUUCCUGAAUCUUGUAGUGACAGGAUCAAUGGCACAGUAUAUUCCAAGCUUGAACUUCUACAGUGGAGACUUGCCUUUGGUCAGCACUGCCUAUGGAUCAUCAGAGUGCUUCUUUGGGCUAAACUUAUACCCUUUUACUAAGCCUGAGGACAUUGCCUACACCAUUAUGCCUAGCGUGGCCUACUUUGAGUUUUUGCCUAUCAAGCCUGCAGAUGAUAUUGGCCAGAUAAGUGCAAUGCAAGUGCUGGACCCUGUGGAUUUGGCUCACGUGGAGGACGGUAAAGAGUAUGAGAUCAUUGUGACCACUUACUCUGUGAGUUGUGCUUCUAUGAUAUCUGCAAAUUUGAGUACUGUUCCUGAGUUAAAUGGUUCGAAUUUUAAGGACUGGAAAGAAACUGUUAUGACUGUUCUGGGUUGUAUGGAUCUUGACCUUGCAUUUAGGGAGUUGUGUCCACCUCAUCCAACAGAUCAAAGUUCCCAUCAGGAUAAGCGGUACUUUGAAUGGUGGGAACUCUCAAACCGCAUGUGUCUAAUGAUCAUGAAGAGAUCAAUCCCAGAAAAUUUUCGGGGAUCUAUUACUGAAAAGGCUAGUGCCAAGGCGUUCCUUGAAGAGAUUGAAAAACGUUUUGCUUAAAAUGAAAAGGCUGAAACAAGCACUCUUUUGAGUAAACUUGUGACGCUGAAGUAUAAAAAUAAGGGGAACAUACAGGAGCACAUUAUGGAAAUGUCUCAUCUUGCUUCAAAAUUACAGGCGCUAGGUCUGAGGUUACCCGAAGACUUCAUAGUGCAUAUGGUUCUUCUUUCUCUUCCACCACAGUUUGGAAAGUUUAAAGUUAGUUAUAACUGUCAGAAGGAGAAAUGGACUCUUAAUGAGCUCAUUUCGCACUGUGUGGAAGAAGAGGAGAGAUUGAAGCAUGAUAAGAUAGAAAGUGCUCACUUGGCUACUACGCCUAAAAGUAAGAAAAGGAAGGCUAUUAAGGAAAUUGCAGUUGAUCACGCAUCCAUUAAGAAACAGAAAAAGCAUAAGGAAGGCAAAUCAAGCUGCUUCUUUUGCAAGGAUGAAGGUCAUAUGAAGAAGGAUUGUACUAAGUAUCAUGCAUGGCAUGAAAAGAAAGGGCUGCCUAAAUUGUAAGACGCCAAUUGAUGCUGAAAGAUUCAUCUAUGAGGGCGAUAACAUGAAGGCGAAGAUUGAAGCCAUAGCAGAUUUUCGGUUAUUGUUAAAGACUGGUUGUUAUUUGAAUUUGACAGAAACUUAUGUGGUGCCGUCUUUUAGACUGAAUCUAGUUUCUAUUUCCUCAUUGGACAAAUUUGGUUACUAUUGUUCAUUUGGAGGAAAUAAAUUCAAGUUGUUUCUGCAUUCAAAUUUGAUUUCCACUGGUUCUUUGUC
Nymphaea colorata (pocket water lily) is the source of this 2379-nucleotide RNA transcript. It is a transcript of the gene named indole-3-acetic acid-amido synthetase GH3.8-like, with no coding region annotated. The record is from RefSeq and is a predicted model, not a curated record. Lineage: Eukaryota; Viridiplantae; Streptophyta; Magnoliopsida; Nymphaeales; Nymphaeaceae. The transcript is spliced from 5 exons.